UGACUGCGUACCUUUUGUAUAAUGGGUCAGCGACUUAUAUUCUGUAGCAAGGUUAACCGUAUAGGGGAGCCGGAGGGAAACCGAGUCUUAAUUGGGCGUUAAGUUGCAGGGUAUAGACCCGAAACCCGGUGAUCUAGCCAUGGGCAGGUUGAAGGUUGGGUAACACUAACUGGAGGACCGAACCGACUAAUGUUGAAAAAUUAGCGGAUGACCUGUGGCUGGGGGUGAAAGGCCAAUCAAACCGGGAGAUAGCUGGUUCUCCCCGAAAGCUAUUUAGGUAGCGCCUCGUGAAUUCAUCUCCGGGGGUAGAGCACUGUUUCGGCUAGGGGGCCAUCCCGGCUUACCAACCCGAUGCAAACUGCGAAUACCGGAGAAUGUUAUCACGGGAGACACACGGCGGGUGCUAACGUCCGUCGUGAAGAGGGAAACAACCCAGACCGCCAGCUAAGGUCCCAAAGUCAUGGUUAAGUGGGAAACGAUGUGGGAAGGCCCAGACAGCCAGGAUGUUGGCUUAGAAGCAGCCAUCAUUUAAAGAAAGCGUAAUAGCUCACUGGUCGAGUCGGCCUGCGCGGAAGAUGUAACGGGGCUAAACCAUGCACCGAAGCUGCGGCAG
Molecule: ribosomal RNA, 613 nt
Filed under: Salmonella enterica subsp. enterica serovar Corvallis
Lineage: Bacteria; Pseudomonadati; Pseudomonadota; Gammaproteobacteria; Enterobacterales; Enterobacteriaceae
Description: partial 23S ribosomal RNA
Rfam family: Bacterial large subunit ribosomal RNA
Source: RNAcentral